CAGUUCGGAUUGCAGGCUGCAACUCGCCUGCAUGAAGCUGGAAUUGCUAGUAAUCGCGGAUCAGCAAGCCGCGGUGAAUACGUUCCCGGGCCUUGUACACACCGCCCGUCACACCAUGAGAGUCGGGAACACCCGAAGUCCGUAGUCUAACCGCAAGGGGGGCGCGGCCGAAGGUGGGUCCGGUAAUUGGGGUGAAGUCGUAACAAGGUAUC
RNAcentral lists this ribosomal RNA (212 nucleotides) under uncultured bacterium. RNAcentral's name for it is "partial 16S ribosomal RNA". It matches the Rfam family "Bacterial small subunit ribosomal RNA", at positions 1289 to 1500 of the family's 1533-position model. The record is from RNAcentral.